UUUGAGGAAGAAGCUUGCUUGAAGAAUUAAAUUAACUUAGUGGCGGACGGGCGAGUAACACGUGAGCAACCUGCCUCUUACAGGGGAAUAACAACGGGAAACCGUUGCUAAUACCGCAUAACAUGUUGAAAGGGCAUCCUUUUAACAUCAAAGGAGCAAUCCGGUAAGAGAUGGGCUCGCGUCCGAUUAGCUAGUUGGUAGGGUAACGGCCUACCAAGGCGACGAUCGGUAGCCGGACUGAGAGGUCGAACGGCCGCAUUGGGACUGAGACACGGCCCAGACUCCUACGGGAGGCAGCAGUGGGGAAUAUUGGGCAAUGGGCGAAAGCCUGACCCAGCAACGCCGCGUGAGUGAUGAAGGCCUUCGGGUUGUAAAACUCUUUGGACAGGGACGAAGAAAGUGACGGUACCUGUAGAACAAGCCACGGCUAACUACGUGCCAGCAGCCGCGGUAAUACGUAGGUGGCGAGCGUUAUCCGGAUUUACUGGGCGUAAAGGGCGUGUAGGCGGCUAGAUAAGUGUGAUGUUUAAAUCCAAGGCUUAACCUUGGGGUCCAUUACAAACUGUUUAGCUUGAGUGCUGGAGAGGAUAGUGGAAUUCCUAGUGUAGCGGUAAAAUGCGUAGAUAUUAGGAGGAACACCGGUGGCGAAGGCGGCUAUCUGGACAGUAACUGACGCUGAGGCGCGAAAGCGUGGGGAGCAAACAGGAUUAGAUACCCUGGUAGUUCACGCCGUANACGAUGAAUACUAGCUGUAGGAGGUAUCGACCCCUUCUGUGGCGCAGUUAACACAAUAAGUAU
This 798-nucleotide ribosomal RNA is filed under the name uncultured bacterium. RNAcentral describes it as "bacterial SSU rRNA". It matches the Rfam family "Bacterial small subunit ribosomal RNA", at positions 65 to 867 of the family's 1533-position model. The record is from RNAcentral.